GGGCUUGUGGUUUAGUGGUAUAAUACUCCCUUAGCACCGAGGGUCCUCUUCCGAGACACCCACGAAUUUGGGAGUGGUCCGGGGUUCGAUUCCCCGCGAGUCCA
Molecule: non-coding RNA, 104 nt
Organism: Xylaria sp. CBS 124048
Lineage: Eukaryota; Fungi; Ascomycota; Sordariomycetes; Xylariales; Xylariaceae
Source: the annotation of a GenBank genome assembly